AAUAAAAGUGUCAGUGGUCAUGUCUACAUGUUCUUUAAUGUGCCUUAGUUACUGCACAUUUAGUUUUGUACUUGCUCAGUGAAGUACUAACUGAAUACUCAAUAAUUAGAGUUACUCCACAGUAGCGCCAGCACGCAGUUAUUCUAUGAUGCUUAUUGCACAUUAGCUUAAUAACACCGUACAGUAGGCUGUUAGCAUAGUUUUUAUCCACCGCGCUGCUGCAUUAUUAGACUAAUGCACAGUAAGUGUCUCACGUAGAUGCUCCCAGCAAGUCUCCCAGAAGCUAAAGCUGAGAUGAUGCCCUUCUGCAUCACUUCCAGCAUGGGAACCUCACCUUUUGCUUAGGGGUGAAAGCUGCUAGGAUUAACUUGCAUUCUUUCAUACAGGCCAUUGUUCUGAAUGAUACAGUUAGGAUUAGAAAAAUCAUUCAGGGAUAUUUAAAAGGGGAAUUAUCUGCAUUUAGUUGCUUGGAAAGUACCAGUCACUGGAAGUCCUCCAAGAAUUCUUUUUACAAAGUAAAAUAUUUGGAAAGUACAUUUGCAAUCAAUUUAAAGGAAAGGCGCAUUCUGUGCUAAAACCACCAAUACCCAGGUUAAAGCACUCACUUUGACUAUUAUUUUCUAAAGUGAAGUGUUACAAGAUCCAAGCACAAUAUACUGUAGCUUGCAUAGCAGAGUUAAUAAACAGUAUAAGGUUACAGCACUGCAAGAUGAGAUUCUGUUUCUCUUUUUUAUUCUCCCUCAAAGUAGGGAGUGAAAAAAGGGCAAUACAGGAAUUAUGACACUAGAAGUUAUUGUUAAGUAUUUGAAAAACACAUCAGAGAUUAGAUUGAGUUUCCAAAAUUAGUGAACUAAUUUUCAGAAGUGUUGAACAUUGACGUCAGUGGUGGGUGCUUAAGCCAUUUUGAAAUUCAUCCUGCUUAUUUACAAGCUCAAGGGUGAUAUCUUUAAGUCAAAUUGAUUUAGAAUACACUCCAUUAAAAGCCAAUACAUUUGAGAUCUUAAAUCACUUAGGAAUUUACAAUAUCACUCUAAAUCAUGAACUAUAGCAGUUUAACUUUAGAUUUUUUGGGGCUCACUCAACCCAGUGGCCAGUUUUCAUAGAUUCAUAGGUUCAUAGAUGCUAGGGUCCGAAGGGACCUCAAUAGAUCAUCGAGUCCGACCCCCUGCAUAGGCAGGAAAGAGUGCUGGGUUCAGAUGACCCCAGCUAGAUGCAUAUCCAACCUCCUCUUGAAGACCCCCAGGGUAAGGGAGAGCACCACCUCCCUUGGGAACCUGUUCCAGACCUUGGCCACUCUAACUGUGAAGAAGUUCUUCCUAAUGUCCAGUCUAAAUCUGCUCUCUGCUAGCUUGUGGCCAUUAUUUCUUGUAACCCCCAGGGGCACCUUGGUGAAUAAAACCUCACCAAUUCCCUUCUGUGCCCCCGUGAUGAACUUAUAGGCAGACACAAGGUCGCCUCUCAACCUUCUCUUGCGGAGGCUGAAGAGGUCCAGGUGCCCCAGUCUCUCCUCGUAAGGCUUGGCCUUCAAGCCCUUAACCAUACGAGUGGCCCUUCUCUGGACCCUCUCCAGGUUAUCCGCAUCCCUCUUGAAGUGUGGCGCCCAAAACUGCACACAGUAUUCCAACUGCGGUCUGACCAGCACCCGAUAGAGGGGAAGUAUCACCUCCUUGGAUCUGUUCAUCAUGCAUCUGCUGAUGCACGAUAAAGUGCCAUUAGCUUUUCUGAUGGCUUCGUCACACUGCCGGCUCAUGUUCUUCUUGGAGCCCACUAGGACUCCAAGAUCCCUUUCCGCUUCCGUUCUACCAAGCAGGUAUUUUCCUAGGCAGUAGGUGUGCUGGACAUUUUUCCUCCCUAGGUGCAGCACUUUGCAUUUCUCCUUGUUGAAUUGCAUUCUGUUGUUUUCUGCCCACUUGUCCAACCUGUUCAGGUCUGCUUGCAGCUGUUCCCUGCCCUCCGGCGUGUCCACUUCUCCCCACAGUUUUGUGUCAUCCGCAAACUUGGACAGAGUGCACUUCACUCCCUCGUCCAAGUCUCUGAUGAAGAUAUUGAAGAGUAUCAGUCCAAGCACUGAGCCCUGCGGGACCCCACUGCCCACACCCUUCCAGGUCGAUACCGACCCAUCCGCUACGACUCUCUGGGUGCAACCCUCUAGCCAAUUCACCACCCACCGGACUGUGUAGUCAUCCAAGUCACAGCUUCUUAAUUUGUUCACCAGUAUGGUGUGGGAUACCGUAUCGAAGGCCUUCCUGAAGUUUAAGGAUACGACAUCAACCCCUACUCCUGUGUCUAGGCGUUUUGUAACCUGUCAUAAAAAGAGACUAGAUUAGUCAGGCAUGAUCUACCUGCUACGAACCUGUGCUGGUUUCCCCUCAGCAUAAUUUGUCCUGCUGGGCUUUCGCAAAUGUGAGCCUUUUCAUUGAAUUAGCUAUUGCUAAUGGCAGAGAAUGACACCAGCGUCUCAUUCAGUGGUUCCUCUGCAUGGAGAACAGUUUUAAAUGCAGCAAUAACUUUUUACCUGGUGCAACAAAAAGCAGAAAUGUGUACUGCUAUAGUUAUAAAUCCAGAAAAAAGUCUCUAAAUAUUUUAAAAGCAAGUAAAAUUAAUCAGAUUGUUUAUUCUAACCUUUCUUAUUUUACACAUGCUGCAUUGGAUAUAUCUGAAACAUAAGGCCUGAAAAUAAAGCAUGCCAGGCUUUGGCAGUGCUAAGCCUUGUGUUUUACAGCCUUCUAAAGUUAAGUGUGCUACAAUCAUGUGCCAAGUGAAGAGAAGAUAUUGCAUUGUUAUUUUUUUUUGCAUCUUUCAUAUGGCAAAAAGUAGAAAAAAUGAUUAUCCCUCCUUACAUUCUAUCACCCCUUAUAUCUCAGAGGGUCUCAAAAUGCUUAAAAGACUACACUUACGGGGAUGACCUCACUACCACUGAUAUGCGUUAAUCCCAGAAGUGCUAACACAGCACUUAUUAACUUCACCAGCCAUACCACAGUGUUUUUAGAGGGGAGGCAAGGAACAACACAUUCAGUUGAAAAUGUAGAGGAAUUUAGGUAAAGGCACCAGGGAAUGUAGCCAGAACACUGGGGCUAACACUCUUAUGUGCAUGUGAGGUCUUUUUAAUAACCACAAGCAGUUACUAGGACCUGGGUUUUACAUGUCACCACAUCCAGAAACACAGUGCCAUCCGGGUACUAGCUGACCCAGCUAUUCCCCUAUUCUCUAGAUACCGAUUCAGAAAGAGCACUGAGUAAUGAACACCACUGCACUUGGACCUUGCAUAGUGAGGGAACAUUUGGGGUGGUUUAGUCUGUAAGCUCAUUCAGUUCCCAAUGACAGUCAACAAGACUGAAAAUCAGCAUCAGUUUCAGCGGUGCGGUGCCAUGCAUCACACAGAAAAGGCAGUUAAUUGAAAUCUUCCAGGCUCCAUAGCAAUUGAGGUAAUAGCAGUCCUGUGUCUAGGUGGGUAACAUGCCUACACGGAGGUGACCUACUUUUAGUUGAUUCCGCUUCAUUUCUGUCCCUGGUCAUUUUCACUCCAAAUUUGUGUUGAGGACAUAGAACACCUACCGGAUCCUAGGCCUUUUCAAGUCCAGUCUGUUUGCGGGAAAAAGCCCCUUGCCAGCUGGCAUAAUUUGUCCUGAGACUUUAAACUCAGCACAUUUUUCAGAAUAGUUUUCCAAAAUGACACAGUAAGAAGUAUGAAAAAUAUAAUUUGCUUUGGCAGCACCUGGCACCACCAUGCAGUGCCACAGAGCCUACUCUGUUCUGUGCCAGCCUUCAAAUUCUUUUGUGCUAAGUCUGCUUUGUAAUCCUAGUGAGGCUGGGGCAGGCACAUCAACAGAAGCUGAGAGAGAGCGACAUGAAUCCUUCGGCCACACUGAAGGGGACAGCCACAGGAGUGCAAAAAGGACAUGUGUACAAGCUCCCCUCCUAGCGUUCCAGCUGCCCUUUAAAGAAUGCACUUGUUCUCAGCAGCCCUAGCAUGGCUGAUAUUCCAGGAAAGGGCUGUGUACAAGUGCACUGGGUCCUUGGAAGUCUUAGUAAGGUGGCAGCUGUAGAAGUCUACUCAUCUCACCUUCCAGUACAUUUGGCUUAACACCUUCUAAAAAUAUAUAUUUUGGGGGAAGGUGGGAUGAAUCUGUCACUUGGAAAGCUGAAUUGUAAAUGCUCUAGUUUCAAUUACAAAUAAGGCAGCUUUUGUAAGGAAAGGUGAACAUGUGACCUCCAUAAUGCUAAAAUAAAAUAAAAUAAACCACAGUUCUCUAGGGAUAAGGCAAGAAAACUGUUGGCGGUAUGGAGCCUUAUUAAGUGCAGAGGCAGGGUACAACAUAUGGCUGAUAGCUCAGAAAUGGCUUUGUGAUCAAUAAGCCACACAAAGGGCACUUGUAGACCAACAGCGAAGGGAAUAUUGGAAUUUAACUUGUUUGUUUUGCUCAGGGGAGUAUCCUUUCUCCGUGACACACUCAGCUCCAGACACUGCAGAGAACUCUUUCCAUGGGUGCAGGGAUUGAGGACCGGGUAAAGACCUAUUAAGGUUCUUGCUGCAUCUGAGCACAAUCUCUUGCUCCAGAAUCCCAGAGUUUCUAAAUUACCCUGUUCUAGGAGCUUACACGUUCUGAUCUGGAGAAUUGAAGAGAAUUGCACCUCUGUGGUUAGGGCUGCUCAAGGACAGACUGCAGAGCCCUAGCAGAGCACAGGGACUUAGUCUACAUCACGGUCUGCAAUGCACCUACCCAUAGCUAUACUUUCAGCUCUAUAGUGAUGCAGAGUAGAGCUCUCCCCCUAAACAAGGGGGACCUGGGAACAGCUGCUGAAGCCAGACCUCUUCCAAGCUAAGGAAAAUAAAAAGAUUCAGUAAAAACCACUGCUACCUCAACACUGGGCAAGAAGCAAGAAACAUCAAGAGAGUUGGAUACAAGACAAGAUGUCAUCAACCAAUCCUGAGCAUCCCCAAAUAGGAGUGGAUCCAGAGGGGAUACAGUGGUGUGGUUGCACCUUCCUUUCAGACCACGUCAUGGAAGCAGCAUCCAAGGACUUCUUUCAAGUCCCCAAAUUAGAAUUACUGCGGCAUAGGAGAUUCAAAUAUGCUGGCGGCAGAGCGGUUAAGAACAACAGCUAUGAAGCACUCGCUGGAAUUUGAGUCAGCAGCUAAUAAUACCGGGUUUGUAAUUCUGCUUUGUAAUAAAAGCAUUUUUAUAAUAAAAA
This is a long non-coding RNA of Alligator mississippiensis (American alligator), 5193 nucleotides long. RefSeq lists it as uncharacterized. Lineage: Eukaryota; Metazoa; Chordata; Crocodylia; Alligatoridae. The record is from RefSeq and is a predicted model, not a curated record. The transcript is spliced from 2 exons.